UACGUAGGGUGCAAGCGUUAAUCGGAAUUACUGGGCGUAAAGCGUGCGCAGGCGGUUUUGUAAGUCUGAUGUGAAAUCCCCGGGCUCAACCUGGGAAUUGCAUUGGAGACUGCAAGGCUAGAAUCUGGCAGAGGGGGGUAGAAUUCCACGUGUAGCAGUGAAAUGCGUAGAGAUGUGGAGGAACACCGAUGGCGAAGGCAGCCCCCUGGGUCAAGAUUGAAGCUCAUGCACGAAAGCGUGGGGAGCAAACAGG
RNAcentral lists this ribosomal RNA (253 nucleotides) under uncultured bacterium. RNAcentral describes it as "partial 16S ribosomal RNA". It matches the Rfam family "Bacterial small subunit ribosomal RNA", at positions 524 to 776 of the family's 1533-position model. The record is from RNAcentral.